GGUUUUAUGGUGUAACGGUUAGCACUCCAGACUCUGAAUCUGGCGAUAAAACCU
Molecule: non-coding RNA, 54 nt
Organism: Perkinsus marinus ATCC 50983
Lineage: Eukaryota; Perkinsozoa; Perkinsida; Perkinsidae
Source: Rfam